UACGUAUGGAGCAAGCGUUAUCCGGAUUUACUGGGCGUAAAGGGUGCGUAGGCGGCACAGCAAGUCAGAUGUGAAAGACCGGGGCUCAACCCCGGGGCUGCAUUUGAAACUGCCGAGCUUGAGUCCGGGAGAGGCAGGCGGAAUUCCUAGUGUAGCGGUGAAAUGCGUAGAUAUUAGGAGGAACACCAGUGGCGAAGGCGGCCUGCUGGACCGGAACUGACGCUGAGGCACGAAAGCGUGGGGAGCAAACAGG
RNAcentral lists this ribosomal RNA (253 nucleotides) under uncultured bacterium. RNAcentral describes it as "partial 16S ribosomal RNA". It matches the Rfam family "Bacterial small subunit ribosomal RNA", at positions 524 to 776 of the family's 1533-position model. The record is from RNAcentral.